Molecule: long non-coding RNA, 1178 nt
Organism: Homo sapiens (human)
Lineage: Eukaryota; Metazoa; Chordata; Mammalia; Primates; Hominidae
Product: long intergenic non-protein coding RNA 1643
Source: Ensembl
AGAAACAGGCAGCCUGACUAGAGAACAAACUACCAAUUAACGAGCGAGGAAACAGGGCCAGAGAAUUGGAACAAAAUACAAGGCUGCCUCUGAAAGGAAUAUCUUUGUGCUGAUGUGUCCAUCAAGAGAACAUACACAGAAGUGACACUUGCCAGUAAUUUGCAAGCAGAUGGAACUUCAAUAUGGCAAUAGAGAAAGAAUCAAUUAGACCAGAGUCUCCUCAGGAAGACUUUCUAUAGCGUAAUUAUCUCUCCAAUUAAAGAGCAACCAAGGGACAACUGAACUGGAGGUUCUGCAGAAUUACAACUAAGCACGCAGCCGAGGAAUCUACUCAGCUUUGAUCUCUUAUCGCUCUGCACACACAGCCCUUUCUCUGUAAGGCUAGCUGCUCUCAGCAUCACUGUGUCUAAUCAAACGUGUCACACCUCCACUGAGAAAAUAUUUACUGGAUAGCUACUAGACAUAAGGAUGCAGAAAUGAAUUAGAAAAAUUCCUCGCCCUUGUUCAAAGCUAUGCUGGCUCUUAGAACAUCUGAGCCCCCACUGUUUCAUCUUUAGAGGAUCCCAGCUGCUGGGGUGUGAGGCCAGUGCUGGAGCCAGCAGUCUCUGACCCAGAAGGGACCUGAGGUGCUAAAGAAAAUUCUGGAGGCUGAGAAGUCCAAAACCAAGUCACCAGCAGAUUCAGCGUCUGCAGGCUUGCUUUGCCUAUUCAUACUUAUUACCUAAUAAAUGCAAAAUGGUUGCUGAAGCUCCAGAUGCCACAUCUGUGUCCAAGGGGGGUACAAGCUGGAAAAGGGGAAAAUGAAUCAUGCUACAGGCCAAGUGUCCAUCACUGAUUCCCAGAGAUGCCCUUUGUGUGGUAGGCACUUCCAUGUGGACUCGCUACAGAGGUCAUAAGACCCUAAUUCCAGAGGGCCCUACCCUAUAACCAGAAGGAAGAACUAUUGCACAGAGAAUCUAAGAAGAAUCUAGACAGACAGCCCUUGCUGGAUUUCUCCACUCUGUUAGCAUUCGAUCAUUUGCCUUUUGUCCAGUCAUAUUUCUGCAUGGCUGUCCAUACUUUGUUGAACCUAAGCACAAAAUGGAAAGUUUUCCCUGUAUCUUUGGGUCGUCAUUCUGAAGGCUCCCAUGUUAUGUAAAACUAUGAUCAAAUAAAUAUGCAUGCCUUUUCUCCUAUAA